GACGAACGCUGGCGGCGUGCCUAAUACAUGCAAGUCGAACGAGAGCGACUGGUGCUUGCACUGGUCAAUCUAGUGGCGAACGGGUGAGUAACACGUGGGUAACCUGCCCAUCAGAGGGGGAUAACAUCCGGAAACGGAUGCUAAAACCGCAUAGGUCUUCGAGCCGCAUGGCUUGAAGAGGAAAAGAGGCACAAGCUUCUGCUGAUGGAUGGACCCGCGGUGCAUUAGCUAGUUGGUGAGGUAACGGCUCACCAAGGCCGUGAUGCAUAGCCGACCUGAGAGGGUGAUCGGCCACAUUGGGACUGAGACACGGCCCAAACUCCUACGGGAGGCAGCAGUAGGGAAUCUUCCGCAAUGGACGCAAGUCUGACGGAGCAACGCCGCGUGAGUGAAGAAGGUUUUCGGAUCGUAAAACUCUGUUGUUAGAGAAGAACAAGUGCUAGAGUAACUGUUAGCGCCUUGACGGUAUCUAACCAGAAAGCCACGGCUAACUACGUGCCAGCAGCCGCGGUAAUACGUAGGUGGCAAGCGUUGUCCGGAUUUAUUGGGCGUAAAGCGAGCGCAGGCGGUUCCUUAAGUCUGAUGUGAAAGCCCCCGGCUCAACCGGGGAGGGUCAUUGGAAACUGGGGAACUUGAGUGCAGAAGAGGAGAGUGGAAUUCCAUGUGUAGCGGUGAAAUGCGUAGAUAUAUGGAGGAACACCAGUGGCGAAGGCGACUCUCUGGUCUGUAACUGACGCUGAGGCUCGAAAGCGUGGGUAGCAAACAGG
Molecule: ribosomal RNA, 767 nt
Filed under: uncultured Granulicatella sp.
Lineage: Bacteria; Bacillati; Bacillota; Bacilli; Lactobacillales; Carnobacteriaceae
Description: bacterial SSU rRNA
Rfam family: Bacterial small subunit ribosomal RNA
Source: RNAcentral